This 1650-nucleotide long non-coding RNA is filed under the name Elaeis guineensis (African oil palm). RNAcentral describes it as "long non-coding RNA (EGUI_LNC072353)". Lineage: Eukaryota; Viridiplantae; Streptophyta; Magnoliopsida; Arecales; Arecaceae. The record is from RNAcentral.
GCUGCAUCACAUACGAAAUAAGUGCCGACCCGCGCAAGUGAACGAGGAAGCUUACCAUUCCGCCGUCGGUCAGUUAUUCAGCUAGGCAGGGCGGUCUAACUACGAAAUCUUGAUUGCAAUGCCCGGACUUGCAUCCCACACUAUUUCUUCUUUCGUUUCAAGACCUAAUAAUAAUAUAAUAAUAAUAAUAAGGCCUUCUUCGAAAGCUUUUCAAAUCACAACAUAAGGCAGACCCGGUAACAUUAGAGUUGAUAAAGUGCGUGCCACACUAUGACAUCCAAUAGCAGAGACAGAAAUCAAGCUUGCAUCUCCGUCUUGGCUAGAAUCCUUCUUAUCUUUCUCCUACAAGCCAAUCAUGCAGUCUAGCUCUACUUGACUACGAUAUAUCUUGUUCUUGUUUUGUUCGAUCACAAACAGUCAAACCAGCUACCGAAAGAGAGAUACUCAAUCCGUUACCAUGACUGAUAGGAUGAUCAAGCAAGGAUGAAAAGCUACAUGUUCCGCUUCUCCUGUUAGUUAGAGAGGAGCAGAGACCGCCCUAUCUUGUUGGUUCUUCUUCUUUCGAACCUUAACCAUGAAAGUAAGUCAAUGUUGGCUUCCUCGAUUACACAGUUGACCACACGCAUUCAACGGUAGGGAGUAAGACCUUCUGUUUACUUACCAUUUGUAACGUAAAUUCAAGGGAUACUCAUCGAGUGGACCAUACCAAGGAAGAUAGAAAGGCUUUUCUGAUCUCAUUGUGGAAGUACCGUGUAGAGAUAGGCACCUUAUCUAUGCAAUAACGAUCUCACUCUUCAAGACAGAUUCGUAAAAGGUCAAUCUACGCCAUGGAAGUUUCAUUGCUGAAUGAUUUGUCUACUACCAACUCCUUCCUUUAUGGGUAGGGCAUCUCUACAUGUGAGACCUUGUAUAAAAAUAUCUCACAUACCGGAUUCUCGAGGAAGAAAGAGAGCUUCUCUCGUCCUUGCUUUCAUGCAUAGCAGACUAACAAGCUGAAAAAUGAUCUCGCUGUACCCGAUCCCCAAGCACUGACAUUGAGAGAAGAGUGAAACGGGACUAGCCUUAUAGGGGACUUCCUCGGAUACUUCUCAACUCAUAUCGGAGCAAGGUACUCCUUAUCCUACUGAGACUGAGACCGCAUGAAGCAAUACCACAUUCUCAAUACCCCGGCAGACACCGAUGUAGGGCUUCGUUCUUCUCUUGUUCCUCUUUCCAUACGAUAUCGAUCGAUCGAUCGUUCCAAUCAUGAGACUUUUCGUUCCACCCAUGUGUAAAAUUGACUGGACCUGUUUUACUUAAGGCUGAUGACUUUCCUGGCUUGGCUUUUGCUUUUGGGUCUAAGGCAAUACUUUUUUUUAUUCAGGAAGCGAGUCUAACUACCUUUACUCGGACUAUCUCACCUAACCGAGCUAAACAACGAUUUUUGGUACUAACCCAACUAAAAGGCUAUUCAACAGGGGCAACGUGUAUAUUGAAACCCUGAACUAUUUCUUUGACUUGAUGGAUAAAGGCUUUAGCGGCUAAUUGAGGGGCUACGUUGUCUUCGUUAUCACGCUUGCAAGAAGGCCAUCUUUCCGGCUUUCCCAGCUCUCUUCUCCCAAAGUCGAGAAAUGAUAUACCUUUCCUUUGAGAGUUCAUGUUGUCAGGANN